UCUUCGGGGAUGAUUAAACCGGCGCACGGGUGAGUAACACGUGAGUGACCUGCCUUUUAGACUGGAACAACUUACCGAAAGGUGAGCUAAUGCCGGAUGAGUUAUAUAAGUGCAUGUUUAUAUAGGAAAAGUUGGGGAGACCUGACGCUGAAAGAUGGACUCGCGUCCCAUUAGCUAGUUGGUAGGGUAAUGGCCUACCAAGGCGACGAUGGGUAGCCGGCCUGAGAGGGUGGCCGGCCACACUGGGACUGAGACACGGCCCAGACUCCUACGGGAGGCAGCAGUGGGGAAUUUUGCGCAAUGCUCGUAAGAGUGACGCAGCGACGCCGCGUGAAUGACGAAGGCCUUCGGGUCGUAAAGUUCUUUCGACAGGGAAGAAAAUGCCUAUAAGUAACUGUGUAUGUAUUGACGGUACCUGUAUAAGCAGCCCCGGCUAACUCCGUGCCAGCAGCCGCGGUAAUACGGAGGGGGCGAGCGUUGUUCGGAGUGACUGGGCGUAAAGAGCACGUAGGCGGUGUUGUAAGUCAUUAGUCAAAGACUAGAGCUCAACUUUAGUAAGGCUAGUGAUACUAUAAUACUAGAGUAUCAGAGAGGAUUGCAGAAUUCCUGGUGUAGCGGUGAAAUGCGUAGAUAUCAGGAGGAAUACCGUUAGCGAAGGCGGCAAUCUGGCUGGAAACUGACGCUGAGGUGCGAAAGCGUGGGUAGCAAACAGGAUUAGAUACCCUGGUAGUCCACGCUGU
RNAcentral lists this ribosomal RNA (740 nucleotides) under uncultured bacterium. RNAcentral's name for it is "bacterial SSU rRNA". It matches the Rfam family "Bacterial small subunit ribosomal RNA", at positions 77 to 803 of the family's 1533-position model. The record is from RNAcentral.